This 253-nucleotide ribosomal RNA is filed under the name uncultured bacterium. Its description in RNAcentral is "partial 16S ribosomal RNA". It matches the Rfam family "Bacterial small subunit ribosomal RNA", at positions 524 to 776 of the family's 1533-position model. The record is from RNAcentral.
UACGUAGGGGGCAAGCGUUGUCCGGAUUUAUUGGGCGUAAAGAGCGUGUAGGCGGCCAUACAGGUCCGUUGUGAAAACUCGAGGCUCAACCUCGAGACGUCGAUGGAAACCGUAUGGCUAGAGUCCGGAAGAGGAGAGUGGAAUUCCUGGUGUAGCGGUGAAAUGCGCAGAUAUCAGGAGGAACACCGGUGGCGAAGGCGGGUCUCUGGGCCGUAACUGACGCUGAGGAGCGAAAGCAUGGGGAGCGAACAGG